RNAcentral lists this unclassified non-coding RNA (335 nucleotides) under soil metagenome. RNAcentral's name for it is "partial contains 5.8S ribosomal RNA, internal transcribed spacer 2, and large subunit ribosomal RNA". The stretch from base 1 to 120 matches the Rfam family "5.8S ribosomal RNA", at positions 35 to 154 of the family's 154-position model. The record is from RNAcentral.
GAUGAAGAACGUAGCGAAAUGCGAUAAGUAGUGUGAAUUGCAGAAUACAGUGAAUCAUCGAAUCUUUGAACGCACAUUGCGCCCCUUGGUACUCCAUGGGGCAUGCCUGUUCGAGCGUCAUUUACACCCUCAAGCUCAGCUUGGUGUUGGGCGUCUGUCCCGCUUCGUGCGCGGACUCGCCUCAAAUGCAUUGGCAGCGGUCUUGCCAGCUUCUCGCGCAGCACAUUGCGCUUCUAGAGGCUUUGGCGGAUCGGCGUCCAUCAAGUACACCCACAGUUUGACCUCGGAUCAGGUAGGGAUACCCGCUGAACUUAAGCAUAUCAAUAAGCGGAGGA